UUUAAAACUAACAUUAGCGAAUGUGAUUGCAUGGUGCACGGAUCUGUCAAAUUUGUUCUCAGCCGCAGUCCCGAAACAUAUCAUUAUCGUGUGCUGUGUGAGCAAAGCUGGGCUUGGCUUUCAUGUGACUGAGCUCUAAAUUAGUUUAUGGGUAAUGUUCCUUUACAAUGUGUUCAAUCUUUUGCUCCAUCUUAUCUUAAUGAGUACUUAACCUCUUAAAAAUAGGUUGCAGCCAGAGAGACUGAAAACAGAGUAUUAAAGGCUCCAAGAAAACCACAGGAAUGAACGUCCUUGCUCAGGUAGCUCUGUCCUCCCUGAACACAACUUCUUUAGAGGGCAGUUUACAAAGUUUUCAGCUGCACAGGAAAAAAGUAAUGCCUGUUGCAUUCAUUUAAAAACUCAUUUGUAAUUAGAUGUUAACAGUGAUUUGUUUCUACUUUUUAUAAAUAUGUAGGGAAAAUCAUGGACCGACAAAGGUACUCUUCUUCUGGAAAGCUCCACGGUUCCUGUAUUUUAACCUCAACAGUUUGGUUUUGGAUACCUUUUAAAGAAUGUGUACGCUCAGAAACUUUUCAAACUGGAAAUGGUGCUUUAUAAAAAGUAACUAAGAUCCGAACCCAAAGUUGGCAGUUUCCUGGCCAUCAGCUGGUCUGCGUGCGCUGCAGCCCACGGCAGGGUUUUAGCAUCUGACCACGCUUUAGGCGCGGGAUCAGGGCUGAAUUCUGGCUACACCCCAGAGCAACCGCUCUCACCACCCACUUCUGCUGGAAGGCUGGAAACCUCAGGAAACAUCGUAUGUUUUGGCCUGACCCCGGGUGGGUGCUGGUGUCCUCCAGGCACCCGCACGCCAGAGGUGCUGCAGGGCUCCUGCUGCAGCCGGGGCAGCCGGUGCCGUUCGUGCCUCGCAACAGGAGCAGCCACUCUCGGACCCGGAACUCAGACAGCCUCCAUUUUACAGUACAGACAGAGCUGCAGCACAUGUUAAAUAAAAUAAUCGUCUCAUUUAAUCCCCUUACAUCCCUGGAGAAGCCCAGGAGCAGGCUCCGGAGCAGCGCAGCCACUGGAUUUGUGCCACCGCAGCAGCACCUUGUAAAACUUUCCAGCAAACAGCAAACAAGAAGAGAGCCUGACGCAUCCAGGGGCUGCGGCUUUGGGAAGAAUCCCAUAUAUGCUGAGGCUCUGACCAACAUGAUGAGAUCUGGCAGCAGCAAGACCGUGCUCUAAAGCAUAAACGAAGCAAGCAAAAAGCACCAGAGAGGCAGAGGGAAGGAUGGAAAAGUGACAGGAGAGUAAAGAAAUGCC
Molecule: long non-coding RNA, 1302 nt
Filed under: Anser brachyrhynchus (Pink-footed goose)
Lineage: Eukaryota; Metazoa; Chordata; Aves; Anseriformes; Anatidae
Description: lncRNA (ENSABRG00000008362.1)
Source: RNAcentral